UACGUAGGGUGCGAGCGUUAAUCGGAAUUACUGGGCGUAAAGCGUGCGCAGGCGGUUAUAUAAGACAGUUGUGAAAUCCCCGGGCUCAACCUGGGAAUUGCAUCUGUGACUGUAUAGCUAGAGUACGGUAGAGGGGGAUGGAAUUCCGCGUGUAGCAGUGAAAUGCGUAGAUAUGCGGAGGAACACCGAUGGCGAAGGCAAUCCCCUGGACCUGUACUGACGCUCAUGCACGAAAGCGUGGGGAGCAAACAGGAUUAGAUACCCUGGUAGUCCACGCCCUAAACGAUGUCAACUGGUUGUUGGGUGCAUUAGUACUCAGUAACGAAGCUAACGCGUGAAGUUGACCGCCUGGGGAGUACGGCCGCAAGGUUG
This 372-nucleotide ribosomal RNA is filed under the name uncultured bacterium. RNAcentral's name for it is "partial 16S ribosomal RNA". It matches the Rfam family "Bacterial small subunit ribosomal RNA", at positions 524 to 896 of the family's 1533-position model. The record is from RNAcentral. RNAcentral also lists the same sequence under 1 other name.